Molecule: transfer RNA, 76 nt
Filed under: Clostridia bacterium
Lineage: Bacteria; Bacillati; Bacillota; Clostridia
Also listed under: 1 other name
Description: tRNA-His
Rfam family: tRNA
About the family: Transfer RNA (tRNA) molecules are approximately 80 nucleotides in length. Their secondary structure includes four short double-helical elements and three loops (D, anti-codon, and T loops). Further hydrogen bonds mediate the characteristic L-shaped molecular structure. tRNAs have two regions of fundamental functional importance: the anti-codon, which is responsible for specific mRNA codon recognition, and the 3' end, to which the tRNAs corresponding amino acid is attached (by aminoacyl-tRNA synthetases). tRNAs cope with the degeneracy of the genetic code in two manners: having more than one tRNA (with a specific anti-codon) for a particular amino acid; and 'wobble' base-pairing, i.e. permitting non-standard base-pairing at the 3rd anti-codon position.
Source: RNAcentral
GUGGGUAUAGUUCAGUCGGUAGAGCGCCAGAUUGUGGUUCUGGAUGUCACCGGUUCGAGUCCGGUUACCCACCCCA